RNAcentral lists this transfer RNA (65 nucleotides) under Oestrus ovis (sheep bot fly). RNAcentral describes it as "tRNA-Tyr". It matches the Rfam family "tRNA". From Rfam's summary of the family: Transfer RNA (tRNA) molecules are approximately 80 nucleotides in length. The record is from RNAcentral. Lineage: Eukaryota; Metazoa; Arthropoda; Insecta; Diptera; Oestridae.
GAUUAAAUGGCUGAAUUAGGCAAUAGACUGUAAAUCUAUUUAUGAGAAUAUUUUCUCUUUAAUCA